AGAUUUUAUCUAGAGGGUAUUGGCAUCAAACCCUAAUAAAGAGGGACUAAAAGAAUGUGGCAUGCAGUGUUUUUUCCCUUUCAUCUAUUGUUUUUCCCUUGCUUAUUGUAAGUUUUUGCUUUAUAAUAGUUGAAUGGAGUGUAAAAAGCAAAUUUGUUGCAUUUCCUUAGGAAAAAAAAAAAAAAAAGUCGUUUGCAUUCUGUCUUCAAGAUUCAAGGAGCGAUUGUGCAUGCCACUAUCAUUAUAGAAAAUUGUGAAGGUGAUUCUGAAGUAAACUGCAGAAUAAAAGAUUGGUGUUUGUCCAGAUGGAAAUAUCAAAUAUCCCACAAGUAUAAGAGCAUUGAUGCAAUCUUGGCUGUACAGGAACUGCCGGAACUGACCGUGAACCGAUCAGACCGACCGCCGGAGCACGGAACCGGCCGGAACCGCCAAAGAACUGGUCGGCGGUCGAGAGAAAUUGAAGGAAAACCGAUAUCGACGGUUCGGCGUUGGUUUGAACCCCUGGAAAACCGCUGA
This is a long non-coding RNA of Juglans regia (Persian walnut), 516 nucleotides long. RefSeq lists it as uncharacterized. The record is from RefSeq and is a predicted model, not a curated record. The transcript is spliced from 3 exons. NCBI's taxonomy places the organism in Eukaryota, Viridiplantae, Streptophyta, Magnoliopsida, Fagales, Juglandaceae.